UGAGACACGGCCCAAACUCCUACGGGAGGCAGCAGUAGGGAAUCUUCCACAAUGGACGCAAGUCUGAUGGAGCAACGCCGCGUGAGUGAAGAAGGCUUUCGGGUCGUAAAACUCUGUUGUUGGAGAAGAAUGGUCGGCAGAGUAACUGUUGUCGGCGUGACGGUAUCCAACCAGAAAGCCACGGCUAACUACGUGCCAGCAGCCGCGGUAAUACGUAGGUGGCAAGCGUUAUCCGGAUUUAUUGGGCGUAAAGCGAGCGCAGGCGGUUUUUUAAGUCUGAUGUGAAAGCCCUCGGCUUAACCGAGGAAGUGCAUCGGAAACUGGGAAACUUGAGUGCAGAAGAGGACAGUGGAACUCCAUGUGUAGCGGUGAAAUGCGUAGAUAUAUGGAAGAACACCAGUGGCGAAGGCGGCUGUCUGGUCUGUAACUGACGCUGAGGCUCGAAAGCAUGGGUAGCGAACAGGAUUAGAUACCCUGGUAGUCCAUGCCGUAAACGAUGAAUGCUAGGUGUUGGAGGGUUUCCGCCCUUCAGUGCCGCAGCUAACGCAUUAAGCAUUCCGCCUGGGGAGUACGACCGCAAGGUUGAAACUCAAAGGAAUUGACGGGGGCCCGCACAAGCGGUGGAGCAUGUGGUUUAAUUCGAAGCAACGCGAAGAACCUUACCAGGUCUUGACAUCUUUUGAUCACCUGAGAGAUCAGGUUUCCCCUUCGGGGGCAAAAUGACAGGUGGUGCAUGGUUGUCGUCAGCUCGUGUCGUGAGAUGUUGGGUUAAGUCCCGCAACGAGCGCAACCCUUAUGACUAGUUGCCAGCAUUUAGUUGGGCACUCUAGUAAGACUGCCGGUGACAAACCGGAGGAAGGUGGGGAUGACGUCAAAUCAUCAUGCCCCUUAUGACCUGGGCUACACACGUGCUACAAUGGAUGGUACAACGAGUUGCGAGACCGCGAGGUCAAGCUAAUCUCUUAAAGCCAUUCUCAGUUCGGACUGUAGGCUGCAACUCGCCUACACGAAGUCGGAAUCGCUAGUAAUCGCGGAUCAGCACGCCGCGGUGAAUACGUUCCCGGGCCUUGUACACACCGCCC
Molecule: ribosomal RNA, 1082 nt
Filed under: Lacticaseibacillus rhamnosus
Lineage: Bacteria; Bacillati; Bacillota; Bacilli; Lactobacillales; Lactobacillaceae
Description: bacterial SSU rRNA
Rfam family: Bacterial small subunit ribosomal RNA
Source: RNAcentral